AGGGAAUCUUCCACAAUGGACGAAAGUCUGAUGGAGCAACGCCGCGUGAGUGAAGAAGGUUUUAGGAUCGUAAAACUCUGUUGUUGGAGAAGAACAGGGACUAGAGUAACUGUUAGUCCUUUGACGGUAUCCAACCAGAAAGCCACGGCUAACUACGUGCCAGCAGCCGCGGUAAUACGUAGGUGGCAAGCGUUGUCCGGAUUUAUUGGGCGUAAAGCGAGCGCAGGCGGUUUUUUAAGUCUGAUGUGAAAGCCUUCGGCUUAACCGAAGAAGUGCAUUAGAAACUGGAAAACUUGAGUGCAGAAGAGGACAGUGGAACUCCAUGUGUAGCGGUGAAAUGCGUAGAUAUAUGGAAGAACACCAGUGGCGAAGGCGGCUGUCUGGUCUGUAACUGACGCUGAGGCUCGAAAGUAUGGGGAGCGAAC
This 425-nucleotide ribosomal RNA is filed under the name uncultured bacterium. RNAcentral's name for it is "bacterial SSU rRNA". It matches the Rfam family "Bacterial small subunit ribosomal RNA", at positions 356 to 773 of the family's 1533-position model. The record is from RNAcentral.